CUAACAAGGAUUCCCCUAGUAACUGCGAGUGAAGCGGGAAAAGCUCAAAUUUAAAAUCUGGCAGUCUUUGGCUGUCCGAGUUGUAAUCUAGAGAAGUAUUAUCCGCGCUGGACCGUGUACAAGUCUCCUGGAAUGGGGCGUCAUAGAGGGUGAGAAUCCCGUCUUUGACACGGACUGCCAGGGCUUUGUGAUAUGCUCUCAAAGAGUCGAGUUGUUUGGGAAUGCAGCUCAAAAUGGGUGGUAAAUUCCAUCUAAAGCUAAAUAUUGGCGAGAGACCGAUAGCGAACAAGUACCGUGAGGGAAAGAUGAAAAGAACUUUGGAAAGAGAGUUAAACAGUACGUGAAAUUGCUGAAAGGGAAACGCUUGAAGUCAGUCGCGUUGGCCAGGGAUCAACCUUGCUUUUUUGCUUGGCUUACUUUCUGGUUGAUGGGUCAGCAUCAAUUUUGACUGGUGGAAAAAGUUCAAGGGAAUGUGGCAUCUUUCGGAUGUGUUAUAGCCUUUGUUCACAUACAUUGGUUGGGAUUGAGGAACUCAGCACGCCGCAAGGCCGGGUUUUUAACCACGUACGUGCUUAGGAUGCUGGCAUAAUGGCUUUAAUCGACCCGUCUUGAAACACGGACCAAGGAGUCUAACAUGCCUGCGAGUAUUUGGGUGAAAAACCCGAGUGCGUAAUGAAAGUGAAAGUUGAGAUCCCUGUCGUGGGGAGCAUUGACGCCCGGAUCUGACCUUUUGUGACGAUUCUGCGGUAGAGCAUGUAUGUUGGGACCCGAAAGAUGGUGAACUAUGCCUGAAUAGGGUGAAGCCAGAGGAAACUCUGGUGGAGGCUCGUAGCGAUUCUGACGUGCAAAUCGAUCGUCAAAAUUUGGGUAUAGGGGCGAAA
This 881-nucleotide ribosomal RNA is filed under the name Laccaria araneosa. RNAcentral's name for it is "LSU rRNA". It matches the Rfam family "Eukaryotic large subunit ribosomal RNA", at positions 65 to 928 of the family's 3401-position model. Lineage: Eukaryota; Fungi; Basidiomycota; Agaricomycetes; Agaricales; Hydnangiaceae. The record is from RNAcentral.